RNAcentral lists this long non-coding RNA (424 nucleotides) under Helianthus annuus (common sunflower). RNAcentral's name for it is "hypothetical non coding rna". Lineage: Eukaryota; Viridiplantae; Streptophyta; Magnoliopsida; Asterales; Asteraceae. The record is from RNAcentral.
AUGCACAAUGACUCUCUAGACCAGAUCACAAAGGAAAUAUCCAGACAUUACUCUUACAACCAACCAUUAGAAGUUAGUUCCCUUGCAUUUGUAUCGAUGUAGAUGACAAGUGAAGAAAAUGGGAAACAAGUCACCUAGCAUUAUUACAUAUGAAGAAAAAGAAUCCCGUUCGCCUGCUUUUUGAAAUUAUAUUGUUUAAGUGGUCAGAGAAGAAUAAAAGUAUUUAUUGUUCUGUUAUUUUCAAAUUGAUAUAACAUAGAUUGUUUUGGUAUGGAAUUAUAGAUUUGUUAUUACUUAGUUUAGAAUUUAGGAGUGUUAUAUGGAGUUAUAGAAUUGUUGGUACUUUGAGUUCUUACUUGAUGUCAUUAAAUUUAUUCAUGGAGGUUGCAGAUGUGAAACAUUGCAGGGAUCUAAUGCAUAUCCA